GGAGGGAAACCGAGUCUUAAUUGGGCGUUAAGUUGCAGGGUAUAGACCCGAAACCCGGUGAUCUAGCCAUGGGCAGGUUGAAGGUUGGGUAACACUAACUGGAGGACCGAACCGACUAAUGUUGAAAAAUUAGCGGAUGACCUGUGGCUGGGGGUGAAAGGCCAAUCAAACCGGGAGAUAGCUGGUUCUCCCCGAAAGCUAUUUAGGUAGCGCCUCGUGAAUUCAUCUCCGGGGGUAGAGCACUGUUUCGGCUAGGGGGCCAUCCCGGCUUACCAACCCGAUGCAAACUGCGAAUACCGGAGAAUGUUAUCACGGGAGACACACGGCGGGUGCUAACGUCCGUCGUGAAGAGGGAAACAACCCAGACCGCCAGCUAAGGUCCCAAAGUCAUGGUUAAGUGGGAAACGAUGUGGGAAGGCCCAGACAGCCAGGAUGUUGGCUUAGAAGCAGCCAUCAUUUAAAGAAAGCGUAAUAGCUCACUGGUCGAGUCGGCCUGCGCGGAAGAUGUAACGGGGCUAAACCAUG
RNAcentral lists this ribosomal RNA (525 nucleotides) under Salmonella enterica subsp. enterica serovar Schwarzengrund. Its description in RNAcentral is "partial 23S ribosomal RNA". It matches the Rfam family "Bacterial large subunit ribosomal RNA", at positions 668 to 1191 of the family's 2925-position model. The record is from RNAcentral. Lineage: Bacteria; Pseudomonadati; Pseudomonadota; Gammaproteobacteria; Enterobacterales; Enterobacteriaceae.